AAUGUCAUCAGCAGACCUGUAGGAUCUUAUUGCAGCAUAUUUCUGCUUACCAUCCGAUUCACCUCGUUAUUCACCAAGUACUCUGAGCUUCUGCAACUCUCAAAGAUCAGGGAAAAGACAACCAUGCAAGGAAAAUGGCUUUGGAUGCAGGCUGAAUGCAUUGAAUUCUUUCUUUUAGGUUUAAUAUCACUGUGACAGUGUGCCAUUUACCAGGGCUAAAUUGAAUACAUAUGGAUUUUUAACUGUAUGAAGUUGUGUCUGAGAGCUCCAGCACAGACCAGAUGCCCACUGCACAAGAUGUUAUACAACACAGAAGAAAAAAUGGUCCUUGCUAUUAACUGUUUUUCUCUUCUUGCCACUCAAAAUGAUGAAACUAUUCUUGAAGAAAAGUGUUGGGUCACCAUAUUGUAUCAUAAAUACAAUGUAGUCGGGAUAUGACUGCAACUGCUUUCCCUGCCCUGCUUUGGGUCUACUGCACCUGAAGGUGCCCUUGCAGCUGGCAGCCCAGAGGACCACCACCCUCUCGUCUUCAUUGCACAGUGAAUGAGCCAUGGUGGCGUGAAGGCAGCUGGAGCACACUCCUGGCUUCCUACCAAGCUGCUGUGGAGCCAGGCAGCCCAACCAGGCCCAUGCCCUAGAUAACUGGAAGGAGAUGGGGAAUAUUGUACAAAGGCAGCAUGUACAAAGACAGCUGCUUUUUGCUCCUGCUUCUCUGUUGGUGUCCUCGCACUGGAUCUCCAUGCCCCUCCAGUUGUGAGUGUGCCAGGGGGAGAGUCAAGCAAAGGGCUUGUCAGCAGAGGAGGACUUUGCCUGUUAUCCCUGUGUCAUGGCUCCGGCAAAGCUGUAUCAUUACAGUACCAUCUGGGGAUACUCUAGUUCUGCGAUAAGAGUUGCUUUCUUUUGGCUUACUUUAAAUGUCACUAAAAAGUGACAAAGGGCUCAGUGUUG
Long non-coding RNA from Cygnus atratus (black swan), 948 nucleotides. RefSeq lists it as uncharacterized. The transcript has 3 exons. NCBI's taxonomy places the organism in Eukaryota, Metazoa, Chordata, Aves, Anseriformes, Anatidae. The record is from RefSeq and is a predicted model, not a curated record.